Molecule: long non-coding RNA, 675 nt
Filed under: Olea europaea subsp. europaea
Lineage: Eukaryota; Viridiplantae; Streptophyta; Magnoliopsida; Lamiales; Oleaceae
Source: RNAcentral
CUUGGAUUGUAACUCGACUUUGUUCUUUUUCAAGAAUGCCCCCUUUUCAGGGUUAGUCGUCGAUUUUUCGGUACCUUCUCCGAUGGAGAACGCAAAACUUCGAGUGGGGAGUGUUUUCCACAGACGGCACCAAUCUGUUGACCCCGGAAAUUGGUCCUUCCACGUAGCCAACUGAAAGCUACUCCACAUAUUCCUCCCAGCGCACAAUCAACGAAUAGUCAGGCGCACACGACCGGAACCAACGGGGGGUGGCGACCGUAUGCACUCCGACGAUCAAGUCAGGUUUGGAUGAUCGGAACAGUACCCAGGGGCUAUGCAAAUCAACAAUAAAGGGGGAGGAGAAAAUAUAUAAACUUGCUAUGUAGUGCUAUGUAUUAAGGGUUUCAUUACCUUUGUCUCUUGCCAAACCUUGGGUAUUUAUAGGUGGUAUGAACAAUCAAAUUCUUUGCUAUCUCCUAACAAAUUUUUGUUGAAGCGUCUGCUCAUAGGCAUCAAUCAGCCGCGUUUGUAGAGUGGACGGACAGUUUGUUUCCUCUGAGUUGAAUUGACAUAAAGUUGAUAAGUCACUUCAACUAGCCUCAUGGAGACGUCAAAUCAAUUUAAGCCUUAGGUGCAGGACAAAUCUCAAAUUGGCGACGGAUCUUCUAACCGGGGUCCACUUGAUUUCGAUCUCGG